RNAcentral lists this ribosomal RNA (301 nucleotides) under uncultured bacterium. RNAcentral's name for it is "partial 16S ribosomal RNA". It matches the Rfam family "Bacterial small subunit ribosomal RNA", at positions 509 to 807 of the family's 1533-position model. The record is from RNAcentral.
CAGUAGCCACGGUAAUACGUAGGGUGCAAGCGUUAAAUGGAAUUACUGGGCGUAAAGCGUGCGCAGGCGGUUAUAUAAGACAGAUGUGAAAUCCCCGGGCUCAACCUGGGAACUGCAUUUGUGACUGUAUAGCUAGAGUACGGCAGAGGGGGAUGGAAUUCCGCGUGUAGCAGUGAAAUGCGUAGAUAUGCGGAGGAACACCGAUGGCGAAGGCAAUCCCCUGGGCCUGUACUGACGCUCAUGCACGAAAGCGUGGGGAGCAAACAGGAUUAGAUACCCCCGUAGUCCCUGUCUCUUAUAC